Molecule: long non-coding RNA, 2430 nt
Filed under: Hordeum vulgare
Lineage: Eukaryota; Viridiplantae; Streptophyta; Magnoliopsida; Poales; Poaceae
Description: long non-coding RNA (HVUL_LNC002683)
Source: RNAcentral
CUCUGAUGGGCUCCGGUGAACUCCGAUGGGCUUCGGUCAACUCUGUGGGCUUUGCCAAAUGGCGACGAGCUCAGGCGAACUUCGGCGGUCAGCAAAGCAAACAGUGGCGGUUGGUGGCAGGAGAGAGUUUUCGUGGUGGGUGGUGUUUUUCGGGGGAGGGGAUGGUCCCUACUUUUUUACAUGUAGUGAGAAAAUGGGUUGAGAAAGUGGGGUCUCUGGUUUAGGGGAGGAGGCAAGUAAGGGGAGGGUUGGAGUGAAGUUUUUGCCCCAAAGCCCAAAAGUAGGGGACAAGGGAUGGCUGAAGUUGCUUUGAGGGUAAUGGAAGUCAGAGAUUGACUGGGCUAAUACAAAUUUAUGCAAGGGCGUAAGGGCAUUGUUAUCAAGUUGGCAGCUAAUUGUCAAGCAGGUGGGAGGCUGCUGACUUGUGGUGGCGUAGAAAAAACAUGUAAUGAGAUUUAAUACAAUUUAACCCAAAAUCAGCCCAGUACUACUAUUGCGGCGACCUAAAAAACACUUGAUGAGAUCAACACUGAUUUUACCCAAAACCAAGUAUUAAAUCUUCUAGUGUGUGUCUUCUCUAGCAGCAUUGAGGUGGUGGUGAUGCUCUGCCAAAAAGGGCGUCUUCUCGUGAGGUGGCACUAGCAUGAGAGAUUGCUCUUGCCAUCAAGGCUGUGCCUCAACAAGUGAUCAAACGAACCCAACACGUGUUAGGGGUGAUUCGUGGGGAAGAGGAUUUCAUAUAAGAGGGAAAUAAAAUAUUGAUGGUUAAAUCAUUGUAUUUUUUGUGCUUUAUCAGUCAAAUGGCGUAGUUUGGCAAGCUAUUACUGUUGGGUGUCCUAAAGAAAAUUAUGCAAUUCGGUUAGCAGAUCCAAAAUAUCCGGAAGAGCCAACUUCAUUAUUUUCCUGACGCAGGAUAGAGAUGAAGAGACUUUGCGUUGCCUUGUCUGUUUAUAUUACAAUUUUUUAUGUUGAUGCAUUUUUGUCAGUAUUGUUUUUCUUAAAUGAGCUAGUCCGUGAUAGUGCACCAACUGUUCAUUUCUGUGCUACGAUAUGUUUUGGAAUGAAAAUGUGCUGUGCUUGAUUGUGUCAGUAAUUUUAGCUUGUUUGUUGCCUGUGCUGUAAAGACAGCGCCUGGGCAGUGCUUCAGAGCUGGAUAAGGGUGGAAGAAAAUGGCACGCGACGCGGCGCUGUGGAGUCUUCUGACUUGCCGUCGAUUAUGCGUUGCUGCUGGGAAUGAUUUAGGCACGUAUGUCGCCGUAGCGUUGUUGCCGCUUGAUCUUGUUUGCCAGCUUGUUGCUACCACGGUGGUGGUCGUUUUGUUGCUGAUUAUUAGUGGCAGGGAUGACACUGCUAAUCAACAGGAGUGAGGUAGCGUCCUAGGACAAAAGGGUAGCUUUGAGGUCAUUUUAUUCGUGUGGUCUUGUUGAAAUUGUCUACCAACCAUGCCUUUUUAUAAAGGCACAGUGGCUAUCUAGGCACUAUGUAGCAUGCUUCUGCUCGCCUAGCAUCUUUGGCAACACUGUUCAUUGUACAGUCUUUACUGUAAGCGAAUGCUUAAUAAGAUAUUUAUAGCUGAUAUCCCGCCAUAUGCAGAUAUUUAGCUUGUAGACUUGUCGUUUGUAAUGUUCUUAAUUACGUUACAAGUGACUACAGAUUUACAGUUUCAUGUCAAACUAUAUAAGUUUGAAUUGUUUUAUCUAUUGGAAUAAGUAUAUAUACCCUUUUAAUUCAGUGACUUCUUUGAGUUUCUGAAGGUCGUUUCCUACGAUCUGCAGUCUAUUUUAACAAGUAUCUUUAGUUCUUGACAUCUACAAAAAACUGUGACUAUGCAGGUUAGUAUAUGUAAGAAACGAAUUGAUGGAAGCCAUAAUGUGGGAUUACAAUCCAGAAUAAUGGAUGCAGGUAACUAAAGCUCCCGGCUGCUGCUAUCUUUGCAGAAUUAUGAUUUGACGACUAUGAAAAUGCCUUUGAAACACUGUAGUGUUACUUAUGCUUGUAACAUCACACUGUUGCAGAAAUAGAUGGAGGUACGCGUAUCCAUGCUGAUUCCAUGGAAGUGCAUGUGGGUCUUCAGAAACAACAAAAUCAAGCUUCAAAUCUGCAGGUUCCUGCUAGUGUACUAGCUUUGCCGAUUCAGUCAAAAUCAAAGAGUAUUAAGAGAGGGGUUAAUUUUCAGGAUCGGGAGAGAACAAAGGCUACCCAGUUUAUUGAUGAUGAGCAUAGGAGCGAUAAUCAAGGUCAAGGGGUUAGUGCAGGUUUGACUGCUCAAAGAAGUUCAGCCAAGUCAAUCUCUGAUUCAGGCUCUGACCUUCUAAAUUCCCUGACGAAAAGUCAGAUGCACACAAUACCUGAGCAAAACUCAGCUUUAGGUGUUCAGAAAGUUUGCACAGCCUCUUCUGGUCCUACAUCUCCCCAUGUUGAGAUACCACA